UAAGACGAACCGUGCGAACGUUGUUCGGAUUCACUGGGCUUAAAGGGCGCGUAGGCGGGCCGCAUAGUCAGGGGUGAAAUCCUCCAGCUUAACUGGAGAACAGCCUCUGAUACUGGUGGUCUGGAGGAAGGUAGGGGCAUGUGGAACUAAUGGUGGAGCGGUGAAAUGCGUAGAUAUCAUUAGGAACGCCGGUGGCGAAAGCGACGUGCUGGACCUUUUCUGACGCUGAGGCGCGAAAGCCAGGGGAGCAAACGGGAUUAGAUACCCCGGUAGUCCUGGCCCUAAACGAUGGGUACUAGAUUGUAGCCCUGACAUGGGGUUUCAAUCGAAGCAAAAGUGUUAAGUACCCCGCCUGGGGAGUAUGGUCGCAAGGCUG
This 376-nucleotide ribosomal RNA is filed under the name uncultured bacterium. RNAcentral's name for it is "bacterial SSU rRNA". It matches the Rfam family "Bacterial small subunit ribosomal RNA", at positions 521 to 896 of the family's 1533-position model. The record is from RNAcentral.